AUUGAACGCUGGCGGCAGGCCUAACACAUGCAAGUCGAGCGGUAGAGAGAAGCUUGCUUCUCUUGAGAGCGGCGGACGGGUGAGUAAUGCCUAGGAAUCUGCCUGGUAGUGGGGGAUAACGUUCGGAAACGGACGCUAAUACCGCAUACGUCCUACGGGAGAAAGCAGGGGACCUUCGGGCCUUGCGCUAUCAGAUGAGCCUAGGUCGGAUUAGCUAGUUGGUGGGGUAAUGGCUCACCAAGGCGACGAUCCGUAACUGGUCUGAGAGGAUGAUCAGUCACACUGGAACUGAGACACGGUCCAGACUCCUACGGGAGGCAGCAGUGGGGAAUAUUGGACAAUGGGCGAAGGCCUGAUCCAGCCAUGCCGCGUGUGUGAAGAAGGUCUUCGGAUUGUAAAGCACUUUAAGUUGGGAGGAAGGGUUGUAGAUUAAUACUCUGCAAUUUUGACGUUACCGACAGAAUAAGCACCGGCUAACUCUGUG
This 484-nucleotide ribosomal RNA is filed under the name uncultured bacterium. RNAcentral's name for it is "partial 16S ribosomal RNA". It matches the Rfam family "Bacterial small subunit ribosomal RNA", at positions 30 to 507 of the family's 1533-position model. The record is from RNAcentral.